ACCUGGCGGUAAGGCGUUUCCUGUUUUCAGUGUUGCACUCCGUGUAGCUGUUUGGUGUUUGGGGCUCGCUAAAGCUGAUUUAAUUUCUCUGUACUUGGAUAUCUCUGAGUUAUUGUAGCACAAAAGCACGCUAAAACACACAUUUUCUGUUGUUCCACCUAGCUUUUAGGGAACCAUUUGAGUUUGCACGCAGUUUAUUUGGUACUGAACAGUUUGCUCGUCCAGUUAGCUUAGCCUCAGCACGGCUAUGGCUACUUCUGUCUCUGCUUCUCCGUCUCCUAUCUCUUGCUCUCUGUGUCAGAUGUUUAGUUACAGUCUAUGGUUACUCCUCUGCCUCCUUUAGUGAUAAUGGUACGUGUAAUAAAUGUAGCAUUUUUGUAGCUUUGGAGGCGAGGGUGUCGGAAUUGGAGUCCCGGCUCCGCGCUGUUGAAAAACCUGUAAACAGCCGUAGUUACUUAGCUAGCGCGGGGCUAACUAGCUCAGAACAACCACGUAGCGACCCUCCAGUGGAACCCGAGCAGCCGGAGUUCCGGGAAUUUCUCCUACCCCGUAAACCGUCCUACCCGUCGUUCCUGCGCAUGCGCACAACACAAAAGGGAAGCAAAGCGCAUCCGGCUGUGAUUUCAUGCUACUCCGUUCUUUGAUUUGCAGGAAAAUAGCUUUGGUUAAGUCUGCUGUGGUUACUGGACAUGUGGUAUUUGGACAACACCUCUGAAUCCGCAGCUUCGGUGUUUUAAGGCUGUUUCGAUAUGGAGAAGAAGUGGGAAGAGAUUUACACAUUCAUUUCUGCGGGCUCCUACCCUUCAGGAUAUGACAAGGCUCAGAGGCAAAACCUCAGAAUAUAUGCCUCAAAAUUCAAACAAAAGGAUGGAGAACUCUUUGUUGGAACCAGAAGAGUAGUAAAAACCAUGGAUGAUGCCAGGAAGAUUUUUCAUGAGUUUCAUUCAUCUCCAAUCGGAGGACACACUGGCACACACAAAACGCUAAAUGCAGUGUGUUCCAGAUUUUACUGGUUUGGUAUGACAGUUGACUUUAAAUUUCUUUUUCAGUUCUUUGUCCCUGUGUUCUGUUGGAUCUAUAAAUGUCAAAUAUAUGUAUCUAUAUAUUCAGUAAAUAUAUACUGUAACUAUAAUGGAGUGAGUUCAUUGUCAAAGUUUAUAUAGUCAGGUGUUCCAAUCACUUCAAUGGUGACAGCUGUAUAACUUAAGCACCUUGGCAUGCAGACUGCUUCUACAAACAAGUGCCAAACCAUGCUACCUUUGUUAUUAUAAACUA
Nothobranchius furzeri (turquoise killifish) is the source of this 1275-nucleotide non-coding RNA. Lineage: Eukaryota; Metazoa; Chordata; Actinopteri; Cyprinodontiformes; Nothobranchiidae. The record is from RefSeq and is a predicted model, not a curated record.